CGGCAGCACGGAGAGCUUGCUCUCUGGUGGCGAGUGGCGAACGGGUGAGUAAUAUAUCGGAACGUGUCCAAUAAUGGGGGAUAACGAGUCGAAAGAUUCGCUAAUACCGCAUACGCCCUACGGGGGAAAGCAGGGGAUCGUAAGACCUUGCGUUAAUGGAGCGGCCGAUAUCUGAUUAGCUUGUUGGUGAGGUAAAGGCUCACCAAGGCGACGAUCAGUAGCUGGUUUGAGAGAACGACCAGCCACACUGGAACUGAGACACGGUCCAGACUCCUACGGGAGGCAGCAGUGGGGAAUUUUGGACAAUGGGGGCAACCCUGAUCCAGCCAUUCCGCGUGAGUGAAGAAGGCCUUCGGGUUGUAAAGCUCUUUCGCAAGGGAAGAAAACUUAUGAUCGAAUAAAUCAUGAG
Molecule: ribosomal RNA, 409 nt
Filed under: uncultured beta proteobacterium
Lineage: Bacteria; Pseudomonadati; Pseudomonadota; Betaproteobacteria
Description: bacterial SSU rRNA
Rfam family: Bacterial small subunit ribosomal RNA
Source: RNAcentral